This is a long non-coding RNA of Phyllopteryx taeniolatus (common seadragon), 779 nucleotides long. RefSeq lists it as uncharacterized. Lineage: Eukaryota; Metazoa; Chordata; Actinopteri; Syngnathiformes; Syngnathidae. The transcript has 2 exons. The record is from RefSeq and is a predicted model, not a curated record.
CAGGAAGGAAGUGGAUGGGGUCAGACGUCAGGCGCCAACAUUCACACCAAAAACAAAACAUUCCGCAUUCUGGAAUCUCUGGCAGUGACUUAUUUGGAGCGCUCAGGCCUACGGCGCUCAGACGGGCGUUUGUACCUCGCCGCAGUAUUCCGAGAUGAACUCGUUCUUCUGGACCGGCUCCUUGAUGAAGAUGCCCCAUCCCGCCACGUCGGACGGCGCCAGGAGGAGGUGCUGAGACCACAAGCCACACACAUUAUUCAAAUGCUAAAUAUUACUCGAAAGUCAUAUUUUUCAUGACUUUCCCGUUUGGUGUCCCAAAUGAAGUUUCACGAUUUGGACAUCUUGUUAAGAGACUAAUGAAUGAAAAUGUAUGCAUUUGUGAACUAUUGCAUGUCUUUACCAUUAUUUCAACUGUAUCAAAACAAGAGCGAGGGACAUUUGGGCGGUGUCGUUCGGUCACCUUCUUGGCGCCCCUCUGUAUGGAGCAGUUCUUGCAGGAGACGUUCUUGCUGUCCCAGUGGUCGGCGGCGCCGCAGGUGAGGCAAAGGUCGGGGUCGCACUCCCUGACGGCCAGGUAGCACGGACACUGCUUGGUGUUGCAUUGAGCUUUGCAGCGGCAGCCCGGGAAACGGUUCUGGCCUGCAAACGCAUCCGGAACGCCAUUGGACGCGGUCUCGGCCACGUGACACAGUGCGACAAUUUUUUUUUAUUCCUGAUUUUGCGUGUUUUAGGAGCCGGAAGCCCAAAUUAUGUCAAAAUAAACAAAUAAGUACUUGAAA